GCUGGCGGCGCGCUUACACAUGCAAGUCGAGCGAGAAAGUGGAGCAAUCCAUGAGUACAGCGGCGUACGGGUGAGUAACACGUGGGUGAUCUACCUCUUAGUGGGGAAUAACCCUGGGAAACCGGGGCUAAUACCGCAUAAUCCUGUGAAGGGAAAGCAGCAAUGCGCUGAGAGAGGAGCCCGCGGCCGAUUAGCUAGUUGGUGAGGUAACGGCCCACCAAGGCGACGAUCGGUAGCCGGCCUGAGAGGGCACACGGCCACACUGGCACUGAAACACGGGCCAGACUCCUACGGGAGGCAGCAGUGGGGAAUCUUGCACAAUGGAGGCAACUCUGAUGCAGCGACGCCGCGUGAGCGAUGAAGCCCUUCGGGGUGUAAAGCUCUUUCGGCAGGGACGAUAAUGACGGUACCUGAAGAAGAAGCUGCGGCUAACUACGUGCCAGCAGCCGCGGUAAUACGUANGCAGCGAGCGUUGUUCG
This 479-nucleotide ribosomal RNA is filed under the name uncultured bacterium. RNAcentral describes it as "bacterial SSU rRNA". It matches the Rfam family "Bacterial small subunit ribosomal RNA", at positions 35 to 547 of the family's 1533-position model. The record is from RNAcentral.